This 483-nucleotide ribosomal RNA is filed under the name uncultured bacterium. Its description in RNAcentral is "bacterial SSU rRNA". It matches the Rfam family "Bacterial small subunit ribosomal RNA", at positions 28 to 526 of the family's 1533-position model. The record is from RNAcentral.
GACGAACGCUGGCGGCGUGCUUAACACAUGCAAGUCGAGCGGAAAGGCCCUUUCGGGGGUACUCGAGCGGCGAACGGGUGAGUAACACGUGAGUAAUCUGCCCUUGGCUUUGGGAUAGCCACCGGAAACGGUGAUUAAUACCGGAUACGACCACUCCACGCAUCUGGUGGUGGUGGAAAGUUUUUCGGCCAGGGAUGUGCUCGCGGCCUAUCAGCUUGUUGGUGGGGUAAUGGCCUACCAAGGCUUCGACGGGUAGCCGGCCUGAGAGGGUGACCGGCCACACUGGGACUGAGACACGGCCCAGACUCCUACGGGAGGCAGCAGUGGGGAAUAUUGGACAAUGGGCGGAAGCCUGAUCCAGCAACGCCGCGUGAGGGAUGACGGCCUUCGGGUUGUAAACCUCUUUCAGUACCGACGAAGCGCAAGUGACGGUAGGUACAGAAGAAGCACCGGCCAACUACGUGCCAGCAGCCGCCGUAACAC